UGGUAAACCUCGAAAUUUGCAGUCAGGGCUCAGCGGAGCCUGCGAAUUGAGAUGUGCAGGACAUAUUUUAAUUUUUAAUUUUGAAUUUUUAUUUUUAUUUUAAAUUUUUUAUUUUUUUUUUAAGUUUUGGUUUACGUAGUUUUCCUGGUCCGGCAAAACUAGUUUUGCCUGGUCGUGUUCAGGCAAAACUGACAGCGCUCCAGCGGAAUUAGUUUUGCCUACUUUGCGCAGGAAAAACUAGAUUCCUCGGAAAAAUACAUUUUAGCCUAGGCAAAACUAGUUUUGCCUGGAAUCGGGCUUUGCCGCUAACAUAUAUAAUUUUAAAUACACUAACGAACGCUUUAUUUGAGUUUGCAUAAGAUUCGAAAGGGGGAAGGGGAAAAAACCCCAUGCAAAAAAUUUGAAGAGUGUACUUUUUGCUGUACGCAGUCCAAAAAGUCUGAGAAACUUGUUCUCUAAUCUACCAAAUAUUUUGUUCUGGACGGUUUUUUCAUGCUAGUUCGGUGCUUCAUUGAAUUUUAAUAAUGAGCGUUUAUUCAAAGCAGCAUUAAUUUCGGUCAGACUUUUACGUAAUAUGAGAGUGAGGAACUUCUAAUCAAAAGAAUCAAUAAUAAAAUCAAUUACAAAUAAGACACUACAAAGAAGACAGUCAUGCAUUUAGUUUUCGAAGUUUCAAUCAAACGUAAUCCCAAGCGUUUUGUCUCAAACCGAAGUCAUUUGAAGAUAAAUUCUUUCGAUAGUUUGUUGUUUUCGUUUAGUUUGUUUUUGCUUCGUGAAAAUCUUACUCAUGAAGACCUAUGUAAAGAUAGAGUUAAAUUUUGUAUAGGUUUGUGACAUUUAGCUAUUUUGAAUCUUGAGUUUGGAAAAAUGAGUUUCUUCAUUGUAUUUGCGGUCCAUGCAUGCUAAAAUAUUUCUAUGACGGUUGAAAAUAAAAAUUGUAUUACGUGCGCCUAAAGUGUGGUCAAGAGCAGCUUCAAUUUUCAUUUUAUUCAUUUAUUUUUUUAACACUUCAGAAGAUCAUGUAACUGAGGAAUAUUCAAAGUCAUUUAAUAUGUCAACUAAGUGUUUAUCGACGGUGUUUCUGGCAAGAGCAAGUAUUCUUAUCGUGUCCAUUUUAAACGUUGAAGCCAAAAAAAGACCAAAAUGGUGGAUGACCACUUCCAAGCCAGUCCCCACUGCCAGGCCAAGAACACAACCAGAGAUAGAGGCACUGCUAAAAAAAGACGGUAUUAUACCCGAUGUCAUCAAAUAUGCACCUAAUGAUACAGUGCAAAUUGUGUACAAUAACAAUGAAACAGUGGUUGAUUGUGGCAAUGAGCUAACCUUCAAAGAUGUAAAAAAUGCGCCAACCUUUGUUGACUGGUUUUUGCACGAUGAGUAUGAAGUUUACACAUUAAUGCUGCUAGGACCAGAUUCUCCAACACGAGAGAAUCCAUCAAACCGCUGCUACAAACACUGGCUGGUGGCCAACAUUCCCGAGGAAAGAAUUUAUGCUGCAGAAGAAUUUGCCUCCUACACGAUUUCCACUCGGGCCUAUGAACCUGGUAGGUAUUUAACUCAAUCAUUUUACACCCAGCUCAAUUGGAAUUUCUCAAGGUGUGGCCUCAAUUUUUUGGCGCGAUGCAUUCUAGGCAUCCACCGAUUUGUUUUUGUGAUGUACAAACAGCCCGGACGGUAUCAGCUGGAGUACCGAGGAGAGAGAAUCUACAAAAAGCGAGACCUGGGAGAGCAAUGAGUGAAGAAAAGAUAGAAGCCCUGUUAAUAACCAAAGAUCAACUUAAAUGUCAGCUGGGAUGUUUCGAAACAUAUCUACAAGGUUCGAGCAUCGAUUCGCAAGUGGUGGAAGCAAGUGUCAUCGGAGGCAGGCGCGUCAAUUUCUCUGCAAUGGACUUGGCGGAAAAGUACAAUCUUGGGACUCCAAGUGCUGUGAAUUAUUUUAAAAUUAGAGUUAAAUAAAAGUUAAGAACUGAAA
Molecule: non-coding RNA, 1972 nt
Organism: Bemisia tabaci
Lineage: Eukaryota; Metazoa; Arthropoda; Insecta; Hemiptera; Aleyrodidae
Source: RefSeq, a predicted model, not a curated record